RNAcentral lists this long non-coding RNA (855 nucleotides) under Amphimedon queenslandica. Its description in RNAcentral is "uncharacterized LOC109587231, transcript variant X2". Lineage: Eukaryota; Metazoa; Porifera; Demospongiae; Haplosclerida; Niphatidae. The record is from RNAcentral.
AGGAUGUGCCAUUACAUUAUUGAUGUUUCCUGUUUCAUUGGCACUUCUGCAAAAGAUGCUAUAUCUCACUGGUUCUGUCACACUGCAGAGGGAGAGCCUUGUGAUACAUACCUACAGGUGAUCUGGCUAGUACCUGUGAGAUGAUAGAGUCACAGGCUCACAGCAGGGUGCUAUUAAUGGAGAUGAUGCUCUCUGUGUCCAGAACCUUCAAUUUAUUGCUCACUAUAAUUCACUUGGCUGUAGAUUUAUUGACAGGAGAAGAGGAAGCUGUUAAUAGAUUCUUUUAUUGGGACAAAAAAAGUUCCAGUACUCAUGAUGUCCCAGUCACUGGUGGAAUAGCAGAUGAAGUGUUUGGUGACAGUGAAGUGAGUAGCAUCAGUGGUAGCGGCACUUGAGGAAGAGGUGGGAAUACUAGCAGCUGUCAUUCAAGAGAUGAGUCAACACCCGACACUACUAAUGCUCAUGGCGGUAAUUGCUGGUCACCCUCAAGGAGGAACAUUGGUCUUGAUGAUUCUAUUAGUGAGAAGUGGGCUUAAGCUAGCAGCAACUGCUCAGAUGCCAAAGAAUAUAUUGAGAUGAUUUUUAGAGAUUUUUCUGACAAAUUGGCACAAUUUAAUUUAAGAAAGGAACAAAAACUAAGACAGGUUUUUCUUGAUCUUGCUGCUAGACACAUGGAGAAAAAACAAUGAGAAAAUGAAAUGUUUAUUGGGCAAUAACAAAAGGAGGAGGUGUAAGUGACAACAAGUGAAGAUUGUCUCCUUCAAGAAAUGAUAUGUGAAAUGACUAUUAUAAUUAUUAUAAUUAUUUCUAUUUAAUAUUUUUCAGUGUCAAAAUUGUAUGGUUUUAUAAUUCAUA